UUUCCGUAGGUGAACCUGCGGAAGGAUUAUUAAUGAGUUGUCAUGGGGUUCGAUGCUGGCAGCCAGUUUUUGGAUGCAUGUGCUUGCCCUAACAAUCAUCUUCUUCCAAACACCUGUGCACAUUUUUGAGGGAGUCUUGAGUUGGUUGCCGCUCUUGGGUGAUUUUCUCACAUUCCCUUAAAUCAUUAUACGCUAUUAACAAUGUUGAACGUGCUCUGUGCCGCAAGGCCAUUAAUAUAAUACAACUUUUAACAACGGAUCUCUUGGCUCUC
RNAcentral lists this unclassified non-coding RNA (272 nucleotides) under plant metagenome. RNAcentral describes it as "partial contains small subunit ribosomal RNA, internal transcribed spacer 1, and 5.8S ribosomal RNA". The record is from RNAcentral.